UUUAGGGACUGACUACUCUGUUGGAAGUGAGGGAGCCGAUGCUAAAUUCUAAACCCUUUUUAAACCUUGCCGUAUCGCAAUUUGCCAAGCGGAGGCUAUGUCAAAAUCCGUUUCUGUCUCCGCAGCACCCAUCCUGCGGUUUGGCAUGUAUUGGAUGCUCAGAUGAACAGAUUGACGCACAGAGGGGUGAAGUAACUUACUGAGGGUCACACAGCUGAACUGGCAAGAUUACCGUGAUCCCAGGAAGGUCUAACAUAAGUAUGGAAAUAAUGAAGACAGGAACAAAAAUCUACAUUACCAGUUUUAUAGAAACUUCUGUCGGGGCCUACGUGCAAGGGCAGCAGGGAGACUGGUGAUCAUUAUGAUCAGAGUCAUCUGUUUUGGAGAUGUUUGAAGCAUUUAAAAGAUGAAAUAUUAGCUGUGUGAUUUAAUCUGGAUGUUUAGGGGGAUUUGGGAAAAUUUAUAAUCAACGUUUAGGUGA
Molecule: long non-coding RNA, 481 nt
Organism: Lemur catta (Ring-tailed lemur)
Lineage: Eukaryota; Metazoa; Chordata; Mammalia; Primates; Lemuridae
Exons: 3
Source: RefSeq, a predicted model, not a curated record